RNAcentral lists this long non-coding RNA (2582 nucleotides) under Equus asinus (donkey). Its description in RNAcentral is "lncRNA (ENSEASG00005024522.1)". The record is from RNAcentral. Lineage: Eukaryota; Metazoa; Chordata; Mammalia; Perissodactyla; Equidae.
AAAAAAAUCUUCUGUCGCGCCCCCGCAGGCUGUGUACGUUGAGGAGUGACUUACGUCUCCUUCCCCGCCCCAAAUCAGUGUGCUCAUGUCACUGAACCCGCUGUCAUUCUGGGGUCCCUAGAAGUACAGCGGAGCCGGGAAGUUCUUACUAUUACAUUCAAAACCACCCGAAGUGCUUUUUUUCCUCUCGUGUCCCGUCCUGUUUUGCCCCAUGAAUCCAGCCUCCCUUUUCUGCUGACCACUGUACUGCCUCCGUUGGAUCAGACUCUGAACUAUAGCUGUUUUUAUCCUUUUCUCAUUGUACCUUUUUUUUCCCCUCUUUGUUACAUAACAGUUUUGUGCAUUUUUAAUUUUCUAAGCUAUUUGCUACUCAAAGAACUGGAUCAAAAACAGCCAGAAGACGAAAGGGAAAAUAACGAAGCUAGGCUGCCGCUCUGAGCCUAGGCACUUAUGUCUGACGUCAGCCGUGAGCUUUUGCUCAUCUCGACUGCCAGUUGUCUGGGCAGCUGCCUUUUUCUAAUGGAGGCGGUGACAGAAGUAGAUAGGGAUUCUCAGUGAGCGGGAGUUUAGGAGACAUAUGGGCAUAAGACUACCUCUUCUCAUCUACUUGAAAAUCUAAUGAUAUAAUUAUGUUUGUUAAAAUUAUACGAUGUCUAAAAUCCAAGGGUUAAUUUACACUUAGGGUUCUCUCUGUUUUCCAGCAAAUGGAACUUUGUUUGAGACAGUUGGGGAGGAAAAUCCUCAAGAAGAUUCCUCGAAACGUGGAUGUACAGGGAACAGCAGGAAGAGGCCAUGGGGCUCCGACAGCCCAAGUCUGGAUCGCAGCCUGUGUUCCCAUCCCGGGACCAGGACGCAGCCCAACCCCGCCCCGCAUCCAUGAGGUGUCAGAAAAGUCUAGGACUCUUAAUUUCAUCAGACAUGUUUAGGAAAGAAACUGCUUCUGCCCCAUUUCUUGUCUUGUUUUAGAGAUUACUCCACGUGCCCAUCGGAAGAAACCUGUAAAUAGGAACGAACAAAGGUGUUUCCUGGAGAAGAGACCAUUUGUUCUGCACCAACAGGAGACUCAUUAUGUGGGUCCAACUCCACUGGCAUCCUUUCUGUGCAGAAAACCUCAAGUAAAUGUUUUCUUCUGCCUUUAAAAAUGCUUCCAAGGGUAGAACCUGUCCCCACAGGUCAUGACUGCAGAGAAGGCUUUGUCAAAAUGUGUAAUUUAUGCACACCUGCUCCUUGCACAUUUCCUCUUUUGGAACAGUGAGACACUAAUGAUAACCAAGUUCAGACACACUGGCCGGGUGCCGGCAGAUGGCUUUUCUAUAGACAAACUAGGUUAGUGUGGAAGAUACAGGUUAAAAUAAACUAUGCUGUUUUAUUUAUCUUCCCAAUCUGGUUGGCAGCUAGACUUUUUUAGGGUCUCAUUUAAUGGCCCUAUUUUUCAUUAUUAUUAUAUUUAAUGAUAGGGCAGCAUUUAAGACACAAACUCUUCUGUUUCUCAGGCUGCCUGCAGGAGAUGUCACCGUAAAUUAUCUGCUGUCUACAUGGUACAAGGCUCAUUGACUCAUCUGAAACUUGUUUUGUUAAUUUCUUUAAUAUUUCUAUCACAAGGGUGGUGAGAGGGCCUGGGCUUUUAGCUGCAGCUUUUCAAGACUCCUAAUCUCCUCCUGCCCUACAGGAAUGGGUGGGAGUCUUUGAAUUUUUACACUAUAGUAAUUUGCAUUCCCACAUAAGUCGAGUGUUACAAAAACAUUCCUUCAAAGUUAUUUGUGCUACAAAAAAUAUGCCAGAACCACAUAGACAAAGCCAUUGCUAGAAAUGUCAUUCCAAUGUCAACUCUGGAUAACAGGCUACCAUAACCACUUUUCCUUCCUAUAGACUCAGCUCAUUUGUCUAUUAUACUGUUCUUGGCAUCUUGAAACACCUAUUGCUACUCAGGUACUCAUUUUCCUAUUUAUUAGUGACUCACCUUUCUCAUUUUUUUAAACCAGUUUUCUUCCAAGAGGGGAAAUCUCAAUUUCUGGUAUCUGAAUAACUUUCAAUGUAUCAGUUGUUUUCCCAUUUGCUUUUACCUGUACUGUAUUCCUUGUCAUCUCAAAUGGCAUCUAUACCUAGCUACUUGCCAUUCCAGAAGUUUCCUUUCCUUCCAGUUCCACUUAAUUUAUCCUCCACUGUCCUGGUUCCUGGCUCUUUCCUCUUUAUGCCCUAUUUUACUUACUUUGGGAGCUUAAAGGAUUCUAUAAGACCUUGUUUUGGGUUCCUGCAUUGGAGCCAUGGUUACGUUGCAGAGAAGAAUAGAAAAUGGGUUCAACUCCUGUUUCCUUUCCCCAACGCCUCCUCGAGUCUCAUCAUCCGCUGAUAGGUGAUGCCUUACAGGUUGCAUAGCACUGGAACUUUCCUAGAGUAAUGGUUCUACUGUCAGGGUUUUUCUGGGCUCGUUCUUCCACUGACCUAAUUAUGAUCUAUGCCUAACAGAGCCCCAGUACAACUAUUUUGCAGAAUGGCUAUUACCCUAGAAUUACUAUAGCACAUAUUGAGAUAUAGUUGUACUCCCCAGUAGGUAGGAACUGACCCCAACAAUAAACUUUGAU